RNAcentral lists this ribosomal RNA (638 nucleotides) under uncultured Actinomycetes bacterium. RNAcentral describes it as "bacterial SSU rRNA". It matches the Rfam family "Bacterial small subunit ribosomal RNA", at positions 232 to 885 of the family's 1533-position model. Lineage: Bacteria; Bacillati; Actinomycetota; Actinomycetes. The record is from RNAcentral.
CGCGGCCUAUCAGCUUGUUGGUGAGGUAACGGCUCACCAAGGCUCCGACGGGUAGCUGGUCUGAGAGGACGAUCAGCCACACUGGGACUGAGACACGGCCCAGACUCCUACGGGAGGCAGCAGCGGGGAAUCUUGCGCAAUGGGCGAAAGCCUGACGCAGUAACGCCGCGUGGGGGAUGAAUGCCUUCGGGUUGUAAACCCCUUUCAGCAGGGACGAAAUUGACGGUACCUGCAGAAGAAGCCCCGGCCAACUACGUGCCAGCAGCCGCGGUAAUACGUAGGGUGCGAGCGUUGUCCGGAAUUAUUGGGCGUAAAGAGCUCGUAGGCGGUUUGUCGCGUCGGCCGUGAAAACUUGGGGCUUAACCCCGAGCCUGCGGUCGAUACGGGCAGACUUGAGUUCGGCAGGGGAGACUGGAAUUCCUGGUGUAGCGGUGAAAUGCGCAGAUAUCAGGAGGAACACCGGUGGCGAAGGCGGGUCUCUGGGCCGAUACUGACGCUGAGGAGCGAAAGCGUGGGGAGCGAACAGGAUUAGAUACCCUGGUAGUCCACACCGUAAACGUUGGGCGCUAGGUGUGGGACUCAUUCCACGAGUUCCGUGCCGCAGCUAACGCAUUAAGCGCCCCGCCUGGGGAGUACGG